RNAcentral lists this long non-coding RNA (1402 nucleotides) under Homo sapiens (human). RNAcentral describes it as "long intergenic non-protein coding RNA 2395". The record is from RNAcentral. Lineage: Eukaryota; Metazoa; Chordata; Mammalia; Primates; Hominidae.
AGAGACAGCUGUUUGUCCCCCAGUAUCCUUCAGACAAAGCCAUAUAUGAUUGAAGGUUAUCAGUACUGUGCUUUUGGAGGAUUCAGAAGAAGUUAUAUCUGAUUGGGAGAUUGAAAAGGAUUGGCCUGAAGGAGAGGUGGUUUUUGAACUGCAUCUUAAAGGAUGAGGAAACUGAGGCUGAGAGGGUAGAGAACUUUGCCUGAGGUCACUCAGCAGGGACCCACCCAUCACAGUAAAUGCCAGCACUGCUGAUGCCAAAACAAUGUUAUUUGUAGGCCCUCGGAAUUUGUGACCUGAAGGAAGAAGAGCAGGGCCGUGGGAAGUAUGUAACCAGUGUCAUGCCCCUGGUCCCAAGGAAGCAGUGGCUUGGCCUGAACACCCUGUCCUACCUGGUCCUACCUGGAUGCUGGCCUCAGUAAGCUCCUGGGCUCAUUGAAGAUGAACCUAGCAGUAGUAUUUACACCACUUGUUGUGUGCCCACUGUGGGCCCGGCGCCAUGCCGAGUGCUCUAUGGAUGUGAGAUGAGAACACUGAAGCAGUUUUUUCUAAAGAUAGCUGCCUGGCACAGUGGCUCACAUCUGUAGUCCCAGCAUUUGGGGAGGCCAAGGCAGGUGGAUCACUUGAGGCCAGGAAUUCAAGACCAGCAUGGCCAACAUGUGCUGGGAGAGAAAAGCAUACGACAUAGACAGGGAGGUCAAGCUCCACCACGCAGAUGAGGUGCAGGCCACCAGUCUUCCUCUGCCACAUCUCUUUCUGAAAAGGCAGCCUGUGCUGAGAAACCAUGACUGAGUAAGCCAAGCUUUGUUGGCCGCACCUGCCAAGCCACAGGGUGCCUCAGGCUUGGAGCAUCCCGGAGCCAGUUACAACCCAAGACUUCAGCCUUCUGGAAGGUGUUGGGUCAGCCACCCUGAAGGACGAUCCUGCCCAAGUGACAUGCUUUGCUCUUCCUUCUCACCCAGGACUUCACAUUCACCCUUGCAAUCCAUGUGGGGACACUGUUGGAUAGGAGGCGUGGUCCCAGCGUGGUCUCCCUGUCUGGGCCUCUGCCUAUGCCAAAUGUUUGCCUUACGCUGCACACUCAAGAGGUUCCAUGUAUACAGAUGGGAAUUCCAGAGCUACAGAAAAGGCAGCAAGCACCAUGAUUUAAGCUAACCAGUGUGGAUUCACACCUUCCUCUCUCUCUAUCAGUGGCAGAACUACCAGCUAGAGUAAGAAGUGGUUGAUCCAGGACCUAAACAUUCUGGAAACUCUUGCCCACUUCUGGGAGAAAUGACCCAAUCCAUAGUACUAAGCACACCUUAACUUUCGUAGGACGCAGGCAAGUUGUCAUACCGUGUGCCUAAAUAUAGAAAAAUGAUCCACUGGACUAAUAAAGUGUUAAAUAAAAUAUGUCCUGACUGUC